AGUUAGCGGCGAACGGUCGAGUAACACGUAACCGACCUGCCCCGUGGUCUGGGAUAGCCCUCCGAAAGGGGGAGUAAUACCGGAUGGUUUCACUGAUCCGCAUGGAUGGGUGAAUAAAGCUUUAUGCGCCAUGGGAGGGGGUUGCGGCCUAUCAGCUGGUUGGGGGGUAACGGCCCACCAAGGCGACGACGGGUAGCUGGUCUGAGAGGAUGGUCAGCCGGAUUGGGACUGAGACACGGCCCAA
This 244-nucleotide ribosomal RNA is filed under the name uncultured bacterium. Its description in RNAcentral is "partial 16S ribosomal RNA". It matches the Rfam family "Bacterial small subunit ribosomal RNA", at positions 90 to 334 of the family's 1533-position model. The record is from RNAcentral.